RNAcentral lists this ribosomal RNA (251 nucleotides) under uncultured bacterium. RNAcentral describes it as "partial 16S ribosomal RNA". It matches the Rfam family "Bacterial small subunit ribosomal RNA", at positions 524 to 774 of the family's 1533-position model. The record is from RNAcentral.
UACGAGGGGGGCGAGCGUUGUUCGGAAUUAUUGGGCGUAAAGGGUGCGUAGGCGGCCUGACAAGUCUGAUGUGAAAUCCCUGGGCUCAACCCAGGGCCUGCAUCGGAAACUGUCGGGCUUGAGUAUGGGAGAGGUGAGUGGAAUUUCCGGUGUAGCGGUGAAAUGCGUAGAUAUCGGAAGGAACACCUGUGGCGAAAGCGGCUCACUGGACCAUUACUGACGCUGAGGCACGAAAGCUAGGGGAGCAACAG